AGUAUAAUAGAAUAAUUAGUUCGUUUCGUUUACACCGAAAAAGUCGACUUUUAGUUGUUUUGCUG
RNAcentral lists this transfer RNA (65 nucleotides) under Modiolus philippinarum. RNAcentral's name for it is "tRNA-Val". The record is from RNAcentral. Lineage: Eukaryota; Metazoa; Mollusca; Bivalvia; Mytilida; Modiolidae.